RNAcentral lists this ribosomal RNA (465 nucleotides) under uncultured bacterium. RNAcentral describes it as "bacterial SSU rRNA". It matches the Rfam family "Bacterial small subunit ribosomal RNA", at positions 33 to 507 of the family's 1533-position model. The record is from RNAcentral.
GACGACGCUGGCGGCGUGCUUAACACAUGCAAGUCGAACGGUGACGAGGAGCUUGCUCCUCUGAUCAGUGGCGAACGGGUGAGUAACACGUGAGCAACCUGCCCCGGACUCUGGGAUAACAGUUGGAAACAGCUGCUAAUACCGGAUACGAGACGGAGAGGCAUCUCUACCGUCUGGAAAGUUUUUCGGUCUGGGAUGGACUCGCGGCCUAUCAGCUAGUUGGUGAGGUAAUGGCUCACCAAGGCGACGACGGGUAGCCGGCCUGAGAGGGCGACCGGCCACACUGGGACUGAGACACGGCCCAGACUCCUACGGGAGGCAGCAGUGGGGAAUAUUGCACAAUGGGCGAAAGCCUGAUGCAGCGACGCCGCGUGAGGGAUGACGGCCUUCGGGUUGUAAACCUCUUUCAGCAGGGAAGAAGCGAAAGUGACGGUACCUGCAGAAGAAGCACCGGCUAACUACGUG